AUACAUUAACAUAGCUGUUCGCUCCUCUUUCUGUGCAGCCGUAUUCAUUCUCGUCGAUUAUCUUCUGUCUUGUCGCUGCCCACUCACCUUGGCCUCAGCUCACACCUUUGUUGCCCCCCACCUCACCCUCCCCGACCCCUCUCUGAGAGCACCGGCGGUGCUUCAGCAACGAAGUAAAGAAAGAGGCAAGCAAUACCAAGACAGACGCCGACUCUUGCGCCGACACGCACAUCGUAGCUAGGAGACAGUAAGGAGAGAACACACUUACAUGCCGAUUAGCCAUAACAACGAAACACCAGACUAACAAGAAGAAAAAAAGAGAGAAGGACGGGCAGGUAGAAGAAUUCGAUCAGGAGAGACCCCCACUCACCCACCCACUCCACUCCUCCGCCACCCUCCCCAUCGUCACAUAGAGACAAAAAAAAGAGGGAGGAAGAAAAACGACGAUACACGCAUCUGUACGUGAUCGCACACGCCAGUGGUGGUGCUGCUCUUCGAGUAUUAGCAGUCCUGUGGAGGGGGGGGUGAGGCGGGUGCGCUCUUCUCUCUUGCUUCUGCUCUCUCUCGCUGAUAUACACGCACCUCUUUUUCUUACGCUUUUUCCUCGUCAUUUUCUCCCCCUUUUUUCUUGUGCUGUUGUGGCCCGACGUGUGGGGGAGGUGGCUGAGGGGCCCAGACGGCGUGUGGCUUUGCCUUCUUCUGUGCUGCCCAGCUUUCUUCGUCCGAGACUUGUUUCUCACGCUUGUGUUUGUCUCUGUGCUGCGGACUUUGUUGCAUCCACAUCCCCGGCCCGCUGUCGCGCGCGCGUCUUUGUCGGCAGCCUCUACUCGUCCUUCCCCCUCGCAUUUUCCUUUUGUGGACUUGUCUUUCUGCUCUGUUUCUAAUUUUGUUAG
Molecule: unclassified non-coding RNA, 893 nt
Filed under: Leishmania donovani
Lineage: Eukaryota; Euglenozoa; Kinetoplastea; Trypanosomatida; Trypanosomatidae
Description: gene:unknown
Source: RNAcentral